UAGUUCCUUUUUUUCACUUUUGCAUACUACCAUCACAAGCAGAGAAAAAGCAUGUGCAUGCACGAUUUUGAUCAAGGAGAAACAUUUGCUUAGUUUUCUCAAAAUACAAAAAAAAAAAAGAAAUGGAAACAUGAGAUGCAUGUUCGUAUUCCAUAUUGUUGCCCAACAAUGCAACCCACACAUGCUUGUAAAGUGAACAAAGUUAUGUAUAUGUAAAAAUAAGC
This 224-nucleotide long non-coding RNA is filed under the name Elaeis guineensis (African oil palm). RNAcentral describes it as "long non-coding RNA (EGUI_LNC032591)". The record is from RNAcentral. Lineage: Eukaryota; Viridiplantae; Streptophyta; Magnoliopsida; Arecales; Arecaceae.